GGAAAAACACGCGGUGGCAUUUUUGCAAUUUAAGUGAAAACUUUGACUAACUUAUUCACAUCAGUGGUUAGAAGUUAGAACUACCUGAAGUCAAAACAAAUUUUCACCCUUAUCGUUUCCUCCAUCUGUAAAACGCAUCACACGUUGUAUCAUUUUCACUCAAUCAAAAAACGCUCGCUUUGCUGUUCAAUCGGAACACUCGCCGUCCAAGCCCUUGGCUGUUCAAUCGAAUCCUCUCAAUCGGUGAGUUCUCUCUCUCUAUCUCUCUGAAUUUUCAAUUGAAACUCUAACCCCUUUGUUGUUAAAAAAAAAAUCGUGAAACCCUAAUCCUUUUCAAACAGUGGAACACGAUUUGAAUAUGAAUUGGGUUUUAUGAGUUUCACGUGUUUGUUGGUUUGUUUGUCAGAUUUGAUGAAAUAAAAAUUUUGUAGCUUAAAUUUUGAACUGGGUGUUCUUAUUGAGGUUCAGUUGUUUGUUAGAUUUGAUGAAGAUACAAUUGUACUUUUUUUUUGCUGCUUGAAUUUUGAAUUGGGUGUUUUUAGGAUUUGUUUAGUUUUAGGUUUCAACCAUAUAAAAUGGUUAGGGAAAAAAGAGUCAACUACUCUGUUUAAUUUUUUUAUCAGUAGCAAUGGAGUUCAAUAUUCUGGGAUUUACAAGUCCACUUGACAUGAAAUUAAGAACAAAAGAAAAAAAAUUAUGCCAUGAAAUUAGGAAUAAGUUUUAGUUCUUUGUACCUUGCUGCAGAUUUGUUACUUAGUUUUAUCAGGACAGAUUUUAAGCCAUUAGUGUAGCUCUAUUAUUGGAAAGUAGUAAUAAGGAAUAGUCUAUAUAAUGUAAAUACAUUGUACAAUUGUCACCAUAUAAUGAUGUUUAAGAUAUUUCCUUUCAACUAACGGUAUAUUUUCCCUAGUAAGUAAUAACAACCAGAGUAGGAGAUGCCUGACAGGACAAGUGACUUGAAAAUGUAACAUAUAUAAUUAAAUUAUUGAAUGAGGAAUUGAGUGUAUUUAAGGUACAUAUGUGAUAUAUUGAGUACUCAGGCUUAAUUUCUCAUGUUUUUUAAGGAUAGAAUAUAAAUAAGCAUUUAAAUAGGUUUUAGAGGAAGACCUAAGAAAACCAUUCGAGAAACCAUUAGAAAAGAUUUAGAGGUCAAUGAGUUGGAUUCAAAUAUGGUUUUUGAUAGAACACUAUGGUGGCAUUUGAUCCAUGUAGCCGACCCCACUUAGUGGGAUAAGGCUUGGUUGUUGUUGUUGUUGUUGUCGUUGUCAGGUAUAACUUCUCAGACAUAACUUCUUCAGGGCACAACUUGAAAUAAAACUAGAAUGCUGGGAUGGUUUAGUUUGAAGCUGUAGCGUUUUAGGACCUUGACACUUGACAUGUUCACUUGUUUAUCAUGUUUGUUUAUCAUAAGAGUGUUAAUUUCUCCUAUUAUAUUUUAAAUAUUUCAAUGUAAUUGUUUUUAUGAUUGAUGAUUUAUUCUGUAACAAAUAUGAUAAAGN
RNAcentral lists this long non-coding RNA (1499 nucleotides) under Medicago truncatula (barrel medic). Its description in RNAcentral is "long non-coding RNA (MTRU_LNC001876)". Lineage: Eukaryota; Viridiplantae; Streptophyta; Magnoliopsida; Fabales; Fabaceae. The record is from RNAcentral.